This 456-nucleotide ribosomal RNA is filed under the name Triticum aestivum (bread wheat). Its description in RNAcentral is "partial small subunit ribosomal RNA". The record is from RNAcentral. Lineage: Eukaryota; Viridiplantae; Streptophyta; Magnoliopsida; Poales; Poaceae.
AUGAUUGAUCUCUUCAAUUCAAUGAAAAGCAACGGUAUCGAAGCCACCUGUCAUGUUUUCAACAUAUUAAUUGGUGCAUAUGCUAAAUGUGGAGUGAUGGAUGAGGCUAUGCUCACAUUUACUGAAAUGCGGCGACAAGGAGUGAGUCCGGAUGUAUUCACCUAUGCAACUGUAAUAGUCUCACUUUGUAGAACAAGUAGGCUGGCCAAUGCUAUUGACAAAUUCGAUGAGAUGAUUGCCAUGGGAGUACAGCCAAACAGACCUGUUUAUCAGUCCCUAAUUCAGGGUUAUUGUAUAAUCGGUGAUGCGGUUAAAGCUAAGGAGCUGGUUUCUGAAAUGAUGAACAAAGUUAUUCCCCGUCCUGACAUUGCGUUCUUCACUUCAAUAAUAAACAGUCUAUGCAAAGAACGAAGGGUUAUGGAUGCACAAGUUAUCUUUGACUUGGUUAUAAUGUGA